Lemur catta (Ring-tailed lemur) is the source of this 367-nucleotide long non-coding RNA. RefSeq lists it as uncharacterized. The transcript has 3 exons. The record is from RefSeq and is a predicted model, not a curated record. NCBI's taxonomy places the organism in Eukaryota, Metazoa, Chordata, Mammalia, Primates, Lemuridae.
GCCUGGCCUAUCCUUGGGUUUCACUUUGGCCUUAUCCACCUUGAGGGACUCUCACCACCGGCCACCAGGCCCGUGUGUGCUGCUGAUGGUCCUUCCUCUGGACAGCCUGCUUCUCCCCACUGCUGAGGACGCUCUGUCUCCCCUCCCACGUCACCCUGUUGUGAGGACAGGUGCCAGCACAUCCAGGCCUUCUAGUUUGCUUCCUCCCUCCUUCAGUGGUCGCUCUUUGAAAGACCACUUUAGGGCGCACUCUUGAGCCGCUGACCGCACCGGGCCUGCAGGUGCGGAGACCGUUCGGGUCCCAGGGUCGGCUCCCUCCCCUCCGCUCCCUACUCCCUCGGCCUCGCUGCGCGCCGCCCCCACCCCU